CAUAAGUUAAUACGAUACUCUAAAUCUUCCGUAUUAUUCUUUUCUGAUUACAUUUAUAGUAACGUUCACUGAUGCGUUUUGGCUCGAAGUGCCUUUGCUAGAACGGAUAAAAUAUUAUUUCUGGAAGAUACGCUUAAUAUUCUGAGACACAAAUUGAUUAUUUUUGCAACGCGCCGAUAUGAUAAAAAAAUAUUUCUGAAAGAUACAAUUAACGGUCUUCAAAAUGAACUGCUUAUUUUUGCAACACGCGCCAAUUUAUCUUCUGUCAGAAACACGCGGUCUGAUUUAUUUGAAUAACAAAAAAUCUUCGGGCAGUUUUGGUCGUGUAAAUUUUAUAAUCUGUACGGAUCCAAUUUAAAGCCGAGGAUCACAACAGCGCAAGCGUAAAGGUUUGGAGGAAGAAUCCUGAUACCGAAAGUAGCGGUAAACAACACCACCGUAGCAGCACUGCGAAUCUGCGAAUCCGCAUGAUGUUACCAACGACCGAGCGGCCAUUUCCUCAAGAUGGUCAAAACCAAAACCGAUCAUCACAAGCAACACCCGCAUGCAUACGGUGCUACACUGCCGUUCUAAGCAAGAUUGUCCCAUGUGGGAAAACGUGCAAACGAGAAAAACGCGAUUGAAAUAUCAACUAUAUUUCCAAUUUUUCUUCAAAACUAAAAAUUCACCGAUAGUUUUUUCGUAGUGAACAGUUCAAGUUAAUCAUUUUACAAUGUUUUCUCUCAACAAUAAUUACAUUUCGUACAAAUAAACAGCAAACUAAAGCCAAAAAUGCACCGUGUGACACUUUUGCGUAGAAUCAGAACGCAUGCCGAUGCUAGUUCUACGAAUAACGGUCACACGGCUACAACUUUUCUAUCAUUUUAAAAGCACGUAUAGUUUCUUUUUUUUCUCAAAAACUCAUGUUAAACCGUAAUUUGAGAAAAACGUUCCUCUUUGUUUAUAAAAAUGUAUAGUUGAGUAUGGAUCCUGUAAGUAGUGCCUACCGAAGAGAGUUUAGUUCUUGCGUAGAACUAUCAACAUAGAGACAACCACCUUGAUGAAAAUUUCGUAUAUGUUCAGAACAAAGUAUACUUGUUUGUGUUUUUAUUCGAAAGUUAACACUAAAAGAGACCGUUUCCAGCAAAAAAGUGAAAAUGACCCAAAAGUCACAUGGGACAUUCUUGCUUGGAACGGCAGUACACACAACAUCCAAAAAAUGUUAUUCUGAGCAUCAGGAUAUAAUAAGUAUGUUACUCAAUUACUACGAAUGAAAUAAAUACUUUAAAAUUA
Long non-coding RNA from Uranotaenia lowii, 1272 nucleotides. RefSeq lists it as uncharacterized. NCBI's taxonomy places the organism in Eukaryota, Metazoa, Arthropoda, Insecta, Diptera, Culicidae. The transcript has 2 exons. The record is from RefSeq and is a predicted model, not a curated record.